This 1394-nucleotide ribosomal RNA is filed under the name Lactobacillus sp. RNAcentral's name for it is "bacterial SSU rRNA". It matches the Rfam family "Bacterial small subunit ribosomal RNA", at positions 68 to 1435 of the family's 1533-position model. Lineage: Bacteria; Bacillati; Bacillota; Bacilli; Lactobacillales; Lactobacillaceae. The record is from RNAcentral.
GGUAUUGAUUGGUGCUUGCAUCAUGAUUUACAUUUGAGUGAGUGGCGAACUGGUGAGUAACACGUGGGAAACCUGCCCAGAAGCGGGGGAUAACACCUGGAAACAGAUGCUAAUACCGCAUAACAACUUGGACCGCAUGGUCCGAGCUUGAAAGAUGGCUUCGGCUAUCACUUUUGGAUGGUCCCGCGGCGUAUUAGCUAGAUGGUGGGGUAACGGCUCACCAUGGCAAUGAUACGUAGCCGACCUGAGAGGGUAAUCGGCCACAUUGGGACUGAGACACGGCCCAAACUCCUACGGGAGGCAGCAGUAGGGAAUCUUCCACAAUGGACGAAAGUCUGAUGGAGCAACGCCGCGUGAGUGAAGAAGGGUUUCGGCUCGUAAAACUCUGUUGUUAAAGAAGAACAUAUCUGAGAGUAACUGUUCAGGUAUUGACGGUAUUUAACCAGAAAGCCACGGCUAACUACGUGCCAGCAGCCGCGGUAAUACGUAGGUGGCAAGCGUUGUCCGGAUUUAUUGGGCGUAAAGCGAGCGCAGGCGGUUUUUUAAGUCUGAUGUGAAAGCCUUCGGCUCAACCGAAGAAGUGCAUCGGAAACUGGGAAACUUGAGUGCAGAAGAGGACAGUGGAACUCCAUGUGUAGCGGUGAAAUGCGUAGAUAUAUGGAAGAACACCAGUGGCGAAGGCGGCUGUCUGGUCUGUAACUGACGCUGAGGCUCGAAAGUAUGGGUAGCAAACAGGAUUAGAUACCCUGGUAGUCCAUACCGUAAACGAUGAAUGCUAAGUGUUGGAGGGUUUCCGCCCUUCAGUGCUGCAGCUAACGCAUUAAGCAUUCCGCCUGGGGAGUACGGCCGCAAGGCUGAAACUCAAAGGAAUUGACGGGGGCCCGCACAAGCGGUGGAGCAUGUGGUUUAAUUCGAAGCUACGCGAAGAACCUUACCAGGUCUUGACAUACUAUGCAAAUCUAAGAGAUUAGACGUUCCCUUCGGGGACAUGGAUACAGGUGGUGCAUGGUUGUCGUCAGCUCGUGUCGUGAGAUGUUGGGUUAAGUCCCGCAACGAGCGCAACCCUUAUUAUCAGUUGCCAGCAUUAAGUUGGGCACUCUGGUGAGACUGCCGGUGACAAACCGGAGGAAGGUGGGGAUGACGUCAAAUCAUCAUGCCCCUUAUGACCUGGGCUACACACGUGCUACAAUGGAUGGUACAACGAGUUGCGAACUCGCGAGAGUAAGCUAAUCUCUUAAAGCCAUUCUCAGUUCGGAUUGUAGGCUGCAACUCGCCUACAUGAAGUCGGAAUCGCUAGUAAUCGCGGAUCAGCAUGCCGCGGUGAAUACGUUCCCGGGCCUUGUACACACCGCCCGUCACACCAUGAGAGUUUGUAACACCCAAAGUCGGUGGGG